Molecule: long non-coding RNA, 6973 nt
Organism: Acinonyx jubatus (cheetah)
Lineage: Eukaryota; Metazoa; Chordata; Mammalia; Carnivora; Felidae
Exons: 4
Source: RefSeq, a predicted model, not a curated record
AGAGCAGACUCAACCCCCACCCCUCCCAUACACACACUCUCACCCUCCCUCUCUGUCUCUCCUAAGGGAAUGAGAGGUAUGAUCUCCAGCAAAACUGAAUCAGAAUGGCUCCAGGUUCAGGUGCAUCCCACACAGAAAAAGGAAGAAGUGACAUAUUCAUAUGAAAACAGGGAAACUAAAUGAAAAUCCAGAAACUGAAUGGUGAAACUUACAGUUUUCUUCCUUGAUCCAGCAUUAGAGUCUUACCAUCUAAACUUAUCACCUCUGCCAAUCCCCUCAUCUCCAUUAUUCCAGUUAUACAGAUGGACAGGAAAAUGAAGGACCUUUAUCUGAAGAAAUUGAAAACCUUGUCACCUACUACCCAGGGAAAAGAAGAUAAAAUAUGGGAGGGGUGUCCAGCUGGCUCAGUCAGUAGAGCAUGUGACUCUUGAUCUUAGCAAGGUUAAGUUUGAGUGCCACUCUGGGUGUAGAGAUUACUUAAAAAUAAAAUCUUGAAAAACAAGAUAAAACAUGGGAGUUCAUUAGUCACUAAGCCAUGCUCAUGCAUGCCCAGUGAGCUUUCAAAUCAGCUUUGAAUGUUCCUUGAGUAUGAAGGAAUGGCUAAGGAUCACGGAGAGCUGCAGAAAGCCUCCAACAAAAAGAAAAAGACCAAAACCAACAAAAAAAAAAGUUUUAGAGGAACCAAAAAUAAUACAAGAAACAAAGAAAUUAUAAUUAAUAUUCUUGAAGAGGUAACAGAAGUGCUACACCCAUGAAAAAAGAACAAGAUGCUACAAUACAGGAUCAAAGAACAAGAGUUCAUAAAACAUUGUUUUAAAAGAGAGCUAAAAUUUAAAAAUUCAAUGAAAAGGUUGAAAUCUCCCAGAUCACAGCAACUUUUUGAGAUCAAAUUUCUCAACAUCAACACUGGAAGCUAGGCAAUAUGGGAACACCUCCAAACUUUUGAGGGAAAAUGAUUUCCAAUAUACAAACCUCUCAAUAGCCAGUCAACUGUGAGGGUAAAAAUAAAAUCCCCCCCCCCCGAAAAAAUUAUUUCCAACAUACACUUCCACAGUAAUAGUAGAGGAAACCAAAAUGAAGGAAUAAACCAAAAGGAACACAUAGGAUCCAGAAAAAAGGGACUCAACAAAAGUGAAAGAAAUUCUCAGAAUGUCAGCUAAGGGAAGUCCCAAGAUGACAGCUUUGCAGCAGGCCUAAAGAGAAAACAAUCCAGACUAAAGCAGGAAGAAAGACAGCUACAGAAGAGAUGACUACAAGAACAAAUAGAACUGGAAAAAAGAAUAUGGCUGAAAAUUCUCUCCGAAGGGUGGUGGUAUUCCAAAGAGGACCCCAGAAAACACUUGAGAAUACGGAGCGGUGCGGAAGGUACCUUAUGAAACAGCACACUUAGGGCCCUGCACACUACCUCAUUUCCCUAAUAGGGAUGAAAAGCUCGGGCCUCUGGUAGCUUCCAGCUGACGCCAAUGCUCUCCACACCCCUUUUUUGACAGGAUUUUCUGGCGCUGGAGCCUGUGGUCACAAAUACGAAUUCCGCGAUCACGUCUAAACGGUCUAAAUAAUCAAGAAUCUUUUACAAGACCAAACCCUUCGCGAUCCCAUCACCUCCCAUCUCCCUCCGUAGUCCAGCACACCUAAGCGGGUACUCUAGACCGAAUUCUACAAAUCUUUCAGCGCAUUAACUGGGAGAUAGAAACAAUAUUUAAAAAUGAGAGUUUCGGGCAUUCCCCUCGCUGCAACUGAAAUUACAGGCUCCAUUUCCUGUCCCCAAAAGGACUGCAAAAUCGUCCGCUGGGAACGGGACGCCUCCCGCCCCCUCCAGGCUGGCGCCCGCGACCGCCACACUCCCCCUGCCCGGGCCCCGCGGGCGCGAGGAGGUGGCGGGGACGCGGGGACCCGGGGCGCCCUCCCCUCCCCCUCCCAGCGCCAGCACCCACCUCGCGGCAGCGGCUUCACCUCCCCGUUCUCCUCCCGGGCGGCCCCGCUGGCCUCGCCUGCCCCGCCGAGGCCGUGCCUCCUCCUUUCCUUCUCUCGCUUCUCCUUGGGUCGGCGCGGCUUGGCGUUGGCCGAGGAGGUGGCGGCCGGGAGCAAGAGAUGGUGAGGCUGAGCGUGCAGCAGCGUAGGAGGGACCAGCAGUUUGCGCGGCACCGGCUGAGAUGAGGAAGCAGAGGCUGACGAAGGGACCGCGGUGCCAGCGGAAAAAGAGAAACUGCUCCGAGGAGAGGACGGGGAGGAGGCAGCAGACAGACCGGGAAAGCUCCAAGACGCAGGGCUGCCAUAGCUCUGAGGCGAAGGUGCCGCCAGCGGCUGCAGCUGCCUGCUGUUCCCGCCGCUGCUCCCUUCUCCGUUCAGUCUCCUCGGCGCCUUCUUCUCCUCAGUCCGGACCUUCUUGGCCGACAGAGGACCUGGUGGGUCCCGGAACGGGGGCUGCAAUUUGCCAAACGGUUCUUUCUCCGAGACAGCAGCGGCAGCGCCGUGCACGGGGCUCGGCGGUUCCGCCAUUUUGCGCUCCUGUUGUAUUUACUCUCCUCGGCUCCCGGGCGCGGGGCAGGGGCGGGCCCUCAGCGAGGGGCGGGCGAGGGGCGGGGGAGGGGCGGAGCGGACGGGCCACUAGCGAAGCCCUCCAUUGGACGAACCAUGCUGAGGGAUCCCUCUGGGAGCCAACCAAAGGCGCGAAUCUGGAGCCGAAGAGGCAGGAUCGCCAAGCGGACCCGUUUUGGAGGUCACAGCUCCUCUGGGCGCGGCUUAGUGGCGGAGCUUGCCGUGAGGGGAGGGUCUUCCACUUGUCGCCAGCGUGAACUCUGGUGCCCCGUGAGUGUUCGGAAUGGACCCCCAAAUCUGCCCCCGCCAGGUCGCACUCGACUCUGUUUCGACGACUUUUUUUGUAUCACUUUCUCUUCCUUUUUGCCUUGGGGUCCCUUUGGUCCCUCCCUUUCUCUUCGCUCUCAGAAAUCCGAGUUUCGCAGAUGCUUAGCUCAGAGGAGAAAAUUGUGUGCGGAAUUAAGUCCUUCCUUCUGUUAGGCAGUUGGAUGGGAGGGACCAAAAAUCACUUGGUGUCCUGACAAGAUUUGUUACUGUUGCUAAGAUCGUCAGCUCUAAUGCUUUGAGGGAGAUAACUUCCUGCAAACCUAGAACUUUCGGAUUUCUUCCGAGCUUGAAGCUUCUUCACUUACCACACCAGAAGAAACCUUGCAUGUGUGCAUUCAACAUGUCCAAGCUUAUGUCCACAUCCUUCACUUCCUGCAAAUAGUGAUGUCUAAUCAGCACAGCUCUGUCUGCCCCCUGAUCUGGGCACACAUGGUCCCCUGAUCUCAUGGACUCCUUACACUUUGCAAUUGGAGGAAGAUCCUUCCAGAUCACACCACAUGAAGAUGGAGGCAGAUGUUGGACUGAUGCUUCUACAAGCCAGAGAACUCCAAGGUGGCCAGCAUAUCAUCAGAAGCUAUGGGAGAGGCAUGAAACAGAUCUUUCCCUUACUGCCCUCAGAAGGAACAGGUGGUGCUGACACCUUGAUCUCGGAUUCUAGCCUCCAAAACUGUGAGACAAUUUUCUCUUGUUUAAGCCAUCUAGUUUAUGGUACUUUGUUAUGGUGGCCUUUGAAACUAAUACAUGGUGCAUGGUCGAAAAGUUUGGAGACCCCAGUUAGAGAAUGAGAGCCAUGGAAGAAUUGGUAUAUGUUUAAGAGUCCAAACUAUAUAUGUCCUGUCUUUAUUCAUUUUCUAUAUUUAAUAACUUAUUUUAGGGCACCUAGGUGGCUCAGUUGGUUAAGCAUCUGACUUCAUUCAUGUCAUCAUCUCACAGUUCAUGAGUUUGAGCCCUGCAUUAGACUCUGUGCUGACAGCUCAAAGCCUGGAGCCUGCUUCUGAUUCUGUAUCUCCGUCUCUCUCUGCCCCUUUCCCCGCUCAAGUUGUGUGUCUCUCUCUCAAAAAUAAAUAAACAUUAAAAAAAAACUCUAAAAAGUAAAUAACUAAAUUGAACAGAUUUCUUAGCUUAUCAGUACUUCUAUUAAAGGCACUAUAGUAGAAAACAAUGUGUUCAUCUUUGUGUUUGGUGUAGUUUAUGUUAAAGGAAGGAGGAAUUAGGAAAUACUUGACUUAGUAUACUUUAGUUCAAAACAGGGCCAGUUUUAGGGAAAAAAUUUAUAUUUAAGAACCCCAUUAGGCAGAAGUGGAGCCAAAAUCAGAAAUAGGGUCCUACCAACAGAGGUCAUACCUGUGAACAGUCUGAGAGUUUAUCAUCAAUGCUGAGAGGACUGUAGGCAAAGCAUAUAUUAUUCUAGCUGUGUAAUUUUCAAGUGCUAAAGACAACCUGUCCUUUUUAUACAAGUUAUACAUUAGUCAUGUGUGUGAGAUUCCAAAAUAGUAUGAUUGAGACAGUUUUCAAGGACAGGGGUAACACCUUAAACUCAGAUGUAUCUCUUUAGAACCUGUGUGUGGGUCAGCAAAAUCUGGAAGUCAGCAGUACAUUAAUUAAAUAGCUUAUUAUUUAAUAGUAACUAAUCUAUUAAUAUAAAACCCAGGUUAGUAGAUAUUAAUUAAUAUAUUAGCUGAUUAUUAUGUUUCUAUAGUAAUACCAAAUGUAUUUACACAUUAAUGAAUUUAACAUAUAUAUAAAUAUUUUGUUAUUUUAGGUCUUUGUUGGCCAUGGAAUAUUUGAUCAUUUUUGGCCUUAUUUAUGCAAGUCAGUGAAAACAUUUUGAAGUCCUACUUUUUAAAAAAUUCAAAUGUAUUUAUAAUAGCUGUGCCAUCCUUUAGACUUUUUAAAGUAAUAGAAUCAUUUCUUCAAAUAAACUCUUGUGUGGAAGCCCAGUAUGCUCAUAACUGCAUUAGCAGUGUACCCAUUAUAGAGGACUGGCCAUUUAUAGAAAUAUAUCCUCAUGUUUUAAAUCUUGUUUCUUAUAUCUAGUCUGGAAAUUCUGUACUUUGUGGAUAUAUUUUCUAUAUUCACUAUAAUUUGUUAACAGAAUGAAAAAGAAAUUAUAUAGAAGAGGAUAAUAAAUAUGCUACUGACCUAUGAUCAUAGAACCUGUGCUUGGAGUUGCUAUCCAGUAGUGGAACUAGAUUUGUAAGAAUACAUCCAUCAUCUCUAGUUUGGACCCCUUUGUAACCAGCGCUGCAGUCUGUGACCUAUAGCUACUUGGUCCAGAAUAUAAUGUCUACUAUCUCUAGAAACACAUUUCUCAUUAAGGAACUUCCUUUUUGUGCUUCCACUACUGUUCUUUUAACAGUUUCUGGUUUUGCUCUAUUCAGCUACACCUUUGCCACCUUUGGACUCAAAAACCUGUUUGUCCAGUUCAAUAAAUGUUUUUUUUUUUUUUUCUCUCUCUCUCUCAUUCAUGACUUAUAUUGUAAGCUCAUAAAUAUUUGGAACUGUAUAUACUUUUUGUAUGUUUAGAUUGUUAUAAAAACUGGCACCAUAUGGAGAAGUUGGGCAUUAGCAGUGGAGUCUUUCAGAAUUAAGAGUUUUUGCCUUCAUGGUAUUUAUCACAUGGCUAUUUUUAAAGAACAAAAUAAGUCAGGUAGCCAAUCUGACUGCCAGUAAAUUGCAAUUCAGACUUUUCCACUUUUGUCUAAAAUGUACAUAUAAAAAGAUAGAAAUGGGGUAUAAUUUGAUCAUCAGUGAAUCUUUUCAAUAAAAAUAUACCCAGAGUCUUUAUUCUUUUUUUGUUGUUGUUAUUGAAGUAUAAUCAACAUACAGUGUUACAUUAGUCUCAGGUAUACACUAUGAUUCCACAGUUCUAUACAUUACAGCCCAGAGUCUUAUAUCAAAUAAUGUUUAUUGAGACCCUACCAUGUGCUCAUUAUGCUAAGCCUUGGGAGGUGGACAGCAAGAAGUCAGAUUCAGUAUACAGUGGCAAAUUAAAUGAACAUGAUCCUGGCCUCAUGGCAUAGAUAUAUUACAAAUACACAUAUAUACACACACACAAAAAUAUACUAAUAUAAUAAGUAUAAUAUAAUACUCUGAUACAAGUUCUGAAGGAAAUAAACAGAGUUCUUCAGUGGGAGUAAAAGAAGUUACUUUAAGUAAAACAGUCAAAACAGGAAUGUGAAGUGAAAAGAAAGCAUUCUAAGCAGAAAAUAGCUUGUGCAAAGGCCUUGAGGCCCACUAAAGUACUGGGCUUAUUCAAAGAACAAGACCUUAAGUUCCAUGAGGAAAAGAUUUUUUUCUUUUGUCUAAAACAACAUAUGUAACAAUCACUAAAGAAAUAUUUGUGUACAACUGAAUGAAUAUCUGUAUACCUAGGAUUUAGUGAGUGCAAGUUGAGGUUGAAGAGGUAGGCAAAGAUCAGCUAUGCCAAGCCUUGUUAAAAAUUGAGGGACCUAAUUCACAUUUUAUAAAGGUCACUCACAACUGUGAGAGGAACUGUUUGGUAGAAGAAGGGAAACCCAGGUUCAUGAUGCAGUGGAGGUAGAGACAGUGGACCAAAGAAAUCAGUAAACAACUAUGUUAGAGCCAAGGUCAAUGGGUUUAACUUCCUGCCCACUUCAGCAGCUUAGCAAAGUGAUUGUGUCCAAUAUAGAUCUUUAUACCCCUGGAACUCCCAUAGCCCUUCAACCCCCAGACCAAGACUGGAAAGAAAUUAACCUUUAGCUGAGAAUUUAAUCAAGCCCUUAAAGAAAGUAAUUUCAGAGUUUCUCCUGAGUCUUUGUGUAAUUAAGGGAAUGACCAUCUUAAAUGAAGUCACAAGGACGAUCAAGAAUAUAGAUUAUUUUAUAACUGCUUUGGUUUAUGCCCAAUGAGUAUUUCUUUUGAAGAGAUUUUACCACACAUACAGAAGCAAAUGCAAGGUACAAUCAUUUUUGGAAUAGUGCUAAGCUAGGGGCCCCUGGGUGUCUCAGUCGGUUAAGUGUCUGACUCUUGGUUUUGGGUCAGGUCAUGAUCUCACCAUUUGUGAUUUCGAGCCCCACAUUGGGCUCUGCGCUGAACGUGCAGAGUCUGCUUAGAGUUUCUCUUCCCCUCCCUUUCUCUCCCUCUC